Molecule: ribosomal RNA, 279 nt
Filed under: uncultured bacterium
Lineage: Bacteria
Description: partial 16S ribosomal RNA
Rfam family: Bacterial small subunit ribosomal RNA
Source: RNAcentral
UGCCAGCAGCCGCGGUAAUACGGAGGGUGCGAACGUUAAUCGGAAUUACUGGGCGUAAAGCGCGCGUAGGCGGUUUGGUAAGUUGGAUGUGAAAGCCCCGGGCUCAACCUGGGAACUGCAUUCAAAACUGCCAGGCUAGAGUUUGGUAGAGGGAGGUGGAAUUUCCUGUGUAGCGGUGAAAUGCGUAGAUAUAGGAAGGAACACCAGUGGCGAAGGCGGCCUCCUGGACCAAAACUGACGCUGAGGUGCGAAAGCGUGGGGAGCAAACAGGAUUAGAUA